RNAcentral lists this ribosomal RNA (253 nucleotides) under uncultured bacterium. Its description in RNAcentral is "partial 16S ribosomal RNA". It matches the Rfam family "Bacterial small subunit ribosomal RNA", at positions 524 to 776 of the family's 1533-position model. The record is from RNAcentral.
UACAGAGGGUGCGAGCGUUAAUCGGAAUUACUGGGCGUAAAGCGCGCGUAGGCGGCUUUGCAAGUCGGGUGUGAAAUCCCCAGGCUUAACCUGGGAACUGCAUUUGUGACUGCAUCGCUGGAGUGCGGCAGAGGGGGAUGGAAUUCCGCGUGUAGCAGUGAAAUGCGUAGAUAUGCGGAGGAACACCGAUGGCGAAGGCAAUCCCCUGGGCCUGCACUGACGCUCAUGCACGAAAGCGUGGGGAGCAAGCAGG